UACAAUGUUUGGCUCUUCGUCUUAUUUAAAAAUUUUCUAUGAUUACUAUUACUAUUAUUAUUAUUAGAUGAUAAAAUAUGAAUAAUACUUUAUGUGUGACUAAUUUUUUUAAAAAAAAAUUAAAUAAGACGGACCAUCAAACGUUGGACACAAAAACGCA
RNAcentral lists this microRNA precursor (160 nucleotides) under Oryza nivara. Its description in RNAcentral is "MIR812 microRNA precursor family". It matches the Rfam family "MIR812 microRNA precursor family", at positions 27 to 191 of the family's 205-position model. Lineage: Eukaryota; Viridiplantae; Streptophyta; Magnoliopsida; Poales; Poaceae. The record is from Rfam by way of RNAcentral.